Nymphaea colorata (pocket water lily) is the source of this 1935-nucleotide long non-coding RNA. RefSeq lists it as uncharacterized. The record is from RefSeq and is a predicted model, not a curated record. The transcript has 2 exons. Lineage: Eukaryota; Viridiplantae; Streptophyta; Magnoliopsida; Nymphaeales; Nymphaeaceae.
UUCAAAUUUAAAAAAUUUUUCCAACCCAACAAACUUGGAAAAAAAUUUAUGACCGUUGAGGUCGAUUCCGGAAUUUUUUUUCCUGAAAUAUAUUUCCACCGUGGAAGGUGGAAAUAUAUUUCCGGUUAUCUUUUUUUUACCGUUGGGGCACGCUCGCGUCUUCCUCCUUUGCUAAGCUCCGUCCUCCCACUGCCGCAACCCUACCUCGCGUCUUCUUGCUCGGCUGCUCUCCCUACCUCUCCCUUUUAUCGGGUGGUGCGGUUCUUCUUACUCUCGUCCCCAAAUUUGACUCAAAGAAGGCUUCUUCGUCCAGAAUCUCAUUGUCUCCGGCUUCUCUGUCCAGAAGCUGCUCAAGUCCACCAUCAUAGCCUUCAAUGCAGAGUUGCAUGCCACAGCCAACCAGCGCAACUCAGCCGGUUUCUCGUGCUAUAUUUUGGAUUUAAAAGGUAAAGCUGUUAGGAUUUUUCCCCUCAGUUUGUGAAUUGGAUGUUGUAUUUUGUUGUUAAAAAUAGAUGAAGAAAUUCAAGUGAAUCAUGCAUUUGGUUUUUGCCUAAGAUCAUUUGUGCACUGAUAUUCAUUUCGCUGCUUUUGUCUAUUUGUUAAUGCUGCUUAAAAUUAUUUAGAAGAUGUUGUAUUGUUUUUCAAAUGGAGGAAACUGCAUACAAACUUUUUCCUGUUGCUGUUUGACUUAUGAUACUUUUCCUGUUAAUCCUAACUAUGAUUUUCCUUCUUAUACCUAUCUCAGACCAGCUUUUCAGACUUUGGUCUUCACAGAUCAUGCUUGAUGAAAAUAUUCAUUGGAAGCCUAAUCGUUCUGCGUAUUGAAUAAGUUCCUUCUAACAAGUUCCUUAUAGUCAAUUUCAGCUUCAUUUUGGGUUUGGCAAGACUUUUUUUUAAUCUUUCAAAGGUUGUCCAUCCCUCUCAUCAACUUGAGUUGUAGCUAUGUUGUCAAAUGCUAUUUGGGGCUUCUGCCUAGGUUCUCCUAGGCUGUCAGGCUUGUCUAAUUGCUUAAGCUAGUCAGCUUCAGGUGAAUUGUAAUUAUAGAUUUAGCAGUUAGCAUUUAUGAAAUGGUAAGGUUUUGCGUGCUCUAUGACUUUGAAAAGCAUUGAUGUGAGGUUCACCACCAGUUCCAUUCUUUUCUUUGCUGAUGGUUCUUUGACAUGCAGAGAAUCAAUCUAAUGCCUUGUGCUUUUUUAUUUGAUAAAGCAAUCAGUGGUCUACUAAGUAUUUUUCUGAGUAAAGAAAAGUAGGAGUUUCAAUUAAAAUGUCAAUCUGAAGGCUACUGAUAACUCACUGCAUGUUUUCUGAGGAAAUAGAAGAGGUUGAGGGAUGGUAAAAAUAUGCAACAAAGGCAGAGCUACCCCAGACUUUGUGGCGUAAAAAAUAUUAUGCCCUUUAAAAAAUAUUAUGCUCUAUAACAGCUGCCUACUGUGGAGAAUUCUGUUUUCAUUUUCUGCAACAAAGAUGGAAGUUAAGGUUGGUCCAGGAGCAGAAGUUGUGAAUUUGUCAGGUAACAAUGCAGGUUCAGUGACGAAGGCAGUUGGCUGUCGAGGCAUAUGUGUUUUGAGACUGGAAGAAGCCCUUAAAAGCUCUAGUUCCUUGAGAAUUAAGGAGCAAGUAGAUGUCCAUGUGAAAGCUGGUCUUCUAGAGUGGUGGCCGGCAGAGUGGGGUCAUGAAAGCUGGUCCCUAGUUCUCAUCCUUUUUAUUUAACAUGUUGGCUGUCGAGGCAAGUAGAUGUCCAUGUGAAAGCUGGUCCCUAGUUCUCAUCCUUUUUAUUUAACACCCUUGCCUUGUAAACUGAUGCUGUGAAUUGUGAAAGUUGCCGACCUCCCCAGCUAGCUCAUUGAUGGGCGUCACGGGUGGGAGAGAUGAAAGUUAAGAUAUCAAUUUUGUACCGUGAUCAAUAGUAAAUGUACUGAAAUUGUGUUCCUGGCA